UCCUGUCACUUUCUGAUGCACAUUUCGCCACAAACAUACUUCCAUAUGCGCAAGACUUUUUCAGCUUUUAAUGAGAGCCACGAUGAAUUAAAAAAUGCAAGAAGCUCUAGUACGGAGUACAAAUAUGGAGCCACUUAAAGUACAUGCACCAUUUUUAGACUCCCUUUGGAUGACAUGCCAACGUAGACCUAGCACUUAGUAAGUUGUUAUCAGUGACGGUGUCUGUCACAACGUAGAUCUUGAUUCUUGAAACCUACCACCAUGGUAUGCACCAUUUUGGCAUUCAUGUUAUCUGAGCAUGUAAUUUGCCAGUCUAAAUAUGGGUAUAUCGAGGAAAGAGAUUCACCAACCAUCGGUACUAGAGAUGGAUCUAUUGAGGGAGGAGGCUCACUUAGAAAAACACAAAAUCACUGAGAUUUAAGGCCAAUACUUAAGGAUUGACACCACUCUAAAUUUAAAACCUUAAAGCAAUGGAUUCUUCUUAUAUGAUGUUUCACUCUUUAUUUUUAUCCAACGUGGAUUCCUAACAUAAAUAAAAAUGAACCUACACAUUUGAAAUGCUACAGCUUACGUUACGUCUUCUCUAAUUGGCAAAGAAAACAUGAUUACAUUAUCAGCAAUUCUAAUUUCAACCCAGUGUUUUCUCAUCUUCAACGGCCAAG
RNAcentral lists this small RNA (662 nucleotides) under Vigna angularis var. angularis. RNAcentral describes it as "Non-protein coding transcript". The record is from RNAcentral. Lineage: Eukaryota; Viridiplantae; Streptophyta; Magnoliopsida; Fabales; Fabaceae.